CUCUCUCUCUCUCCCCCCUAUAUAUAUAUAUAUAUAUAUAGACAAACAAGUAAGAACAGGCCGGCUAGAAGACUUGCAGUUUACUGAAAAUUUCUGCUGCAAAUAUCAAUUGAUAUUUGGACAAUAUUUCAGUGAAAAUUGAGUAGAAUUUCAUUUAUAUCGUUUACAUAUUUGAACUGUAUAAACCUAGAACAAAGAAAUAAUGCAAGAAAGAAAAUAGAAAAUAUAUAAAAUAUCUUAUGGCUUCCCUAUAUGUGUAUUUUGUCAUUUCAUAUGUGAAAGAGAUGUUUUUGUAUCUCCAUUAAUGCCCUGGUCCUCUAGGGCUAGGUCCAGAUGGUAACUUUUCAAGCCAAUAUGACAUGGUGUAUUUCGCUUUCUCGUACAUUGCCGGAAAUGUAGCAAGGUGAUUCGAACCGGAUAAAUCUUCCGAUAAAAUUCUUGCAGCCUCCACUCGGACCUCGCUCGCAAUGACAAAAAUGAUAAAGAAAAUGAUCGAAAAAAUGCAUGCCCUCCUAAAAUCCAUCGAGACUCACAAAAAUAUGACUCUUGUUGAACAAAGAAAGAAUGAAGAAUUUGUAUAUUCUUAGCUCCCUUUGUUGGGUGGAUAUGCGAAUCUAACAUGGCAAGACAGUAUUUAUAGGAAAUUUGUUGGACUAAAU
RNAcentral lists this long non-coding RNA (659 nucleotides) under Olea europaea subsp. europaea. The record is from RNAcentral. Lineage: Eukaryota; Viridiplantae; Streptophyta; Magnoliopsida; Lamiales; Oleaceae.